RNAcentral lists this ribosomal RNA (492 nucleotides) under uncultured bacterium. RNAcentral's name for it is "partial 16S ribosomal RNA". It matches the Rfam family "Bacterial small subunit ribosomal RNA", at positions 29 to 507 of the family's 1533-position model. The record is from RNAcentral.
AGUGAACGCUGGCGGUAGGCCUAACACAUGCAAGUCGAACGGCAGCACAGUAAGAGCUUGCUCUUACGGGUGGCGAGUGGCGGACGGGUGAGGAAUACAUCGGAAUCUACUUUUUCGUGGGGGAUAACGUAGGGAAACUUACGCUAAUACCGCAUACGACCUACGGGUGAAAGCAGUGGAUCUUCGGACCUUUCGCGAUUGAAUGAGCCGAUGUCGGAUUAGCUAGUUGGCGGGGUAAAGGCCCACCAAGGCGACGAUCCGUAGCUGGUCUGAGAGGAUGAUCAGCCACACUGGAACUGAGACACGGUCCAGACUCCUACGGGAGGCAGCAGUGGGGAAUAUUGGACAAUGGGCGAAAGCCUGAUCCAGCCAUACCGCGUGGGUGAAGAAGGCCUUCGGGUUGUAAAGCCCUUUUGUUGGGAAAGAAAAGCAGCAGGUUAAUACCCCGCUGUUCUGACGGUACCCAAAGAAUAAGCACCGGCUAACUUCGUG